Oncorhynchus keta (chum salmon) is the source of this 648-nucleotide long non-coding RNA. RefSeq lists it as uncharacterized. The transcript is spliced from 3 exons. NCBI's taxonomy places the organism in Eukaryota, Metazoa, Chordata, Actinopteri, Salmoniformes, Salmonidae. The record is from RefSeq and is a predicted model, not a curated record.
UGGCACUCUAUAUCUGCACGCUGUUGGCUAGAGCGCAAAUGCCAAUACCGGAGUGGGCACACUUGCUGAAUAACACAACAUUUGUUUUUGUGAGAAAAGCGUUAGUAGAGUUGUGAAUACGAUGGAAACCCAAUUAACUCCGCUUUUGAAGGCCCCCUGUCGGCUCCCCUUUUGAAGUGCCAUUUGGGACGCAAACAUUGAACAUUAAUAACCUAAAGGGUAAAUAAACACCGUGGAAAAUGUCACAUAAUGUGGGGAAAAGCGGAUGAUUUAUUAAAACGCCUUCCAAGUACUGAAAACAUGGAAAAGAUCUAUCCGCUGCCUUGGACACCGUGAACCAUCAGAUCCUCCCCUCCACCCCUCUCAGGGCUGUGGAUGUCUCAGGCUCCGCACACUCUUGGAUUGCAUCCUCCCGGCCAGGCCGCUCCAACCAGACAUGCAUACAGCACUCGGACCAGCAGAACCAAAACUUUUAGCCAAUAAGUCGCUAAAAAAAAAUGUUUUUGCCGUCACCUUUCCGGGACUGACAGAGUCAGAACUGGUCCAUCUUGGGAGAGGGGCCAGCCAUUGCCCACUGGUAUGGUAAAUGCUAAAUAUAGAUUAUUAUAUAGAUGAUUAGAAAAAUAGCACAAAAGUCAUUAAAAAAAG